This 479-nucleotide ribosomal RNA is filed under the name uncultured bacterium. RNAcentral describes it as "partial 16S ribosomal RNA". It matches the Rfam family "Bacterial small subunit ribosomal RNA", at positions 28 to 507 of the family's 1533-position model. The record is from RNAcentral.
GAUGAACGCUAGCGGGAGGCCUAACACAUGCAAGCCGAGCGGUAUUUGUUCUUCGGAACAGAGAGAGCGGCGCACGGGUGCGGAACACGUGUGCAACCUGCCUUUAUCUGGGGGAUAGCCUUUCGAAAGGAAGAUUAAUACCCCAUAAUAUAUUGAGUGGCAUCACUUGAUAUUGAAAACUCCGGUGGAUAGAGAUGGGCACGCGCAAGAUUAGAUAGUUGGUGAGGUAACGGCUCACCAAGUCAAUGAUCUUUAGGGGGCCUGAGAGGGUGAUCCCCCAAACUGGUACUGAGACACGGACCAGACGCCUACGGGAGGCAGCAGUGAGGAAUAUUGGACAAUGGGUUAGCGCCUGAUCCAGCCAUCCCGCGUGAAGGACGACGGCCCUAUGGGUUGUAAACUUCUUUUGUAUAGGGAUAAACCUACUCUCGUGAGAGUAGCUGAAGGUACUAUACGAAUAAGCACCGGCUAACUCCGUG